This 160-nucleotide ribosomal RNA is filed under the name uncultured bacterium. RNAcentral describes it as "partial 16S ribosomal RNA". It matches the Rfam family "Bacterial small subunit ribosomal RNA", at positions 325 to 503 of the family's 1533-position model. The record is from RNAcentral.
CACGCCCAAACUCCUACGGGAGGCAGCAGUGGGGAAUCUUGCGCAAUGGGCGAAAGCCUGACGCAGCCAUGCCGCGUGGAUGAUGAAGGUCUUAGGAUUGUAAAAUCCUUUCACCGGUGAAGAUAAUGACUGUAGCCGGAGAAGAAGCCCCGGCUAACUU